AGAGCGAACGCUGGCGGCAUGCUUAACACAUGCAGGUCGCACGGGCAGGGGUAACUCUGUCAGUGGCGGACGGGUGAGUAACGCGUAGGUAUCUAUCCUCGGGUGGGGGACAACCACGGGAAACUGUGGCUAAUACCGCAUGAUGACUGAGGUCCAAAGGCGCAAGUCGCCUGGGGAGGAGCCUGCGUCCGAUUAGCUUGUUGGUGGGGUAAAGCCUACCAAGGCUCCGAUCGGUAGCUGGUCUGAGAGGAUGAUCAGCCACACUGGGACUGAGACACGGCCCAGACUCCUACGGGAGGCAGCAGUGGGGAAUAUUGGACAAUGGGCGCAAGCCUGAUCCAGCAAUGCCGCGUGAGUGAAGAAGGUCUUCGGAUUGUAAAGCUCUUUCGACGGGGUACGAUGAUGACGGUACCCGUAGAAGAAGCCCGGCUAACUUCGUGCCAGCAGCCGCGGU
This 454-nucleotide ribosomal RNA is filed under the name uncultured bacterium. RNAcentral describes it as "SSU rRNA". It matches the Rfam family "Bacterial small subunit ribosomal RNA", at positions 26 to 521 of the family's 1533-position model. The record is from RNAcentral.